This 1657-nucleotide long non-coding RNA is filed under the name Solanum tuberosum (potato). RNAcentral's name for it is "long non-coding RNA (STUB_LNC004977)". The record is from RNAcentral. Lineage: Eukaryota; Viridiplantae; Streptophyta; Magnoliopsida; Solanales; Solanaceae.
UACACUUCAUGCGAUAUAGCUUAAUUGCAUUAGGACACUUAAUCAAGAGAAAAAAACAUCCAAACAAAUCAGGCCGUACGUUUGUCUUUUCACCAAGCUAUUAAGGAUCUGACUUUUGCAUUUUUACUUCUUAAAAAAUUGAAUGAUAGACGGAUGCUUUGUGUUUUCUGUUUGUACUAGCAUGUUAUUGGCCUUCAAGUUUAGAGGUCGGGUUUUCUCUGCACGUCACUUAUUUGAUGAAAUUUCCUUUAAACUUUGAAGGAAUAUAAAAGUCAAUCGAUUCGAACUAUAUACAUAAUAUGUUCUUCACAUAGAACUACUUCCAACCAACAUAGUCAACAAGUCAGGUGGAACCCCAGAAGUUUAAGGUAAUAAUCUGUUGAAUACGACUUCUUCUUUGUGGCUACUACUUUCUACACUCGUGUAGUAUUGUUUUUGCACUUCUCUCUAAACUCUAAGGUGAAGAGUCUCUCAAAACUUGUUGCGGGGCAAUACUAGAUUUUCAAAUUACAUUUCAUUAACUCAUUUCACUCACUUCAUUAUUAGGAAUUUGAGUUUGUUUCAUCCUUAGCCAUUUUCCACUUUAAUUUACAUUUCGUCUAGGUGAUACACUUUCUCAGCACAUACAUAUAGAGAUCCUGUAAUUUGAUCCAUAUGACAGAUGAAAAGAAUCAUAGGAAGACUCGAUAGAACCAUUGGCAAAGCCUCGACUAUCGAAAAAGUGAAAAGUGAUCUACACUAUAGCUUCUCCCAUUCCAUUUCUUAUUGUUGCUUUACUUUUUAGUGCUUAAAUAAGUUUAUUUGUUUCCCAACAUGGGGUAGUAACUGUUUUUUUUCUAUAGUAGGAUAUAAAGAGAUUUUUUCUCUUUACUAGAGCCAAGACUGUAUGAGGAGAGAAAGACUCAAGUCAAAAUAAUCGCACUGUUUCUAUACCUUAUCUCAAGUUACCCCUUAGUACGGGUAUGUGGCACUUUGUCAGAAAUCGUUCAUUUAGCAAGAAGUCAUAUUGCUUGAAAGCACACACAACACGUACAAGAAGAGUUCGAGUGUGAAAGCAUUUACUUAUGUACUUGCUAAAACACUUAAGUAGCAAAUAAUGUAUUUGAUCUCUUUAGUUUGACAAUUGAGACUUCAUUUUCACGUUGAGCAGUAGAAUCUCAAUUUUUUUUAUUACUUUUAAUUUCUUAGGAGGUUCUGCAUAACUUAUGUACUUGCUAGCAUUUGGAUUGUCCUUAUUCUAUUGUCGUAUAAAUAAGAAAGAUAAACUUUUCUUAGUGAGUUGAAGUAGACUUGCCCUAGGUGUCAAUAAAUUGAGAUUAUUCUUAUUUAUGAUGUAUAAUUACUUAUAAUAUUCUCUUUGUAGUGUAAAUUUGCAGAUGAUAAAGAGUUAACAGAAUCAUUCAAGGCUUAUUGAAAUUCUCUUAAUUUUGAUUAUAAAUCCUACAUUUAUGCUCUGAACCCUUAGCCUGGUUAUCAAAAUUAAUUUGGAAACUAUAGUUGGCUAAUAUCAUUGACGUUCUAUAUUGAGUUUGAAUUCUUCCUUUUAUUCCUAUUGACCAUUUUAAAACAUAUUGUUCUUCCUCUUUCGAUAUGCAUGUAUGUAAGUUUCAAGACGAGUGAUGGAGCGACGUGUCUCAUUUUUCCAGGUUCAUUGUAG